This 464-nucleotide ribosomal RNA is filed under the name uncultured bacterium. Its description in RNAcentral is "partial 16S ribosomal RNA". It matches the Rfam family "Bacterial small subunit ribosomal RNA", at positions 28 to 506 of the family's 1533-position model. The record is from RNAcentral.
GACGAACGCUGGCGGCGUGCUUAACACAUGCAAGUCGAACGGAAAGGCCCCUUUUGGGGUACUCGAGUGGCGCACGGGUGAGUAACACGUGAGUAACCUGCCCUUGACUUCGGGAUAACUUCAGGAAACUGGGGCUAAUACCGGAUAGGAAUCCUUGCUGCAUGGUGGGGGUUGGAAAGCUUCGGCGGUUUUGGAUGGACUCGCGGCUUAUCAGCUUGUUGGUGGGGUAGUGGCUUACCAAGGCUUUGACGGGUAGCCGGCCUGAGAGGGCGACCGGCCACAUUGGGACUGAGAUACGGCCCAGACUCCUACGGGAGGCAGCAGUGGGGAAUAUUGCACAAUGGGCGGAAGCCUGAUGCAGCAACGCCGCGUGCGGGAUGACGGCCUUCGGGUUGUAAACCGCUUUCAGCAGGGGCGAAGCUUGUGGUGACGGUACCUGCAGAAGAAGCACCGGCUAACUACGU